Molecule: long non-coding RNA, 296 nt
Filed under: Trifolium pratense (red clover)
Lineage: Eukaryota; Viridiplantae; Streptophyta; Magnoliopsida; Fabales; Fabaceae
Description: long non-coding RNA (TPRA_LNC013022)
Source: RNAcentral
GAAAUUUGACACAAGUAUGUGGGUUAUUAAAAUGAAACGAAGCAUAGAAAAUAAAUUCAUUAACUACUAAUAAGAACUAAGAUAAGAAAAUAUAAAAUGUCAUUAAGAUGAGUCCAAUUACAAUUCACACAUUCACAAAUAUGUGAAGCUCAGCCCUGUGUAAGUAUUUUUGAAAUUGUGGCAAAAUAAAAAGACAAAUAAUGUUAAUGGAAAUUGUAUUGCAGUCUUCCAUUUUAGUAUCCAACAAUUGCUGGGGGAGGAGGCGACCUAUAUUCAGCUCCAAAUAUUGGUGGCAA